Molecule: ribosomal RNA, 440 nt
Filed under: uncultured bacterium
Lineage: Bacteria
Description: partial 16S ribosomal RNA
Rfam family: Bacterial small subunit ribosomal RNA
Source: RNAcentral
CCUACGGGUGGCAGCAGUAGGGAAUAUUGCUCAAUGGGGGAAACCCUGAAGCAGCAACGCCGCGUGGAGGAUGAAGGUUUUCGGAUUGUAAACUCCUUUUGUUAGAGAAGAUAAUGACGGUAUCUAACGAAUAAGCACCGGCUAACUCCGUGCCAGCAGCCGCGGUAAUACGGAGGGUGCAAGCGUUACUCGGAAUCACUGGGCGUAAGGAGCGCGUAGGCGGGAUAGCAAGUCAGAUGUGAAAUCCUAUGGCUUAACCAUAGAACUGCAUUUGAAACUGUUAAUCUAGAGUAUGGGAGAGGUAGGUGGAAUUCUUGGUGUAGGGGUAAAAUCCGUAGAGAUCAAGAGGAAUACUCAUUGCGAAGGCGACCUGCUGGAACAUAACUGACGCUGAUGCGCGAAAGCGUGGGGAGCAAACAGGAUUAGAUACCCGGGUAGUC